AUAUGGCUAUGAUGAUUGUUUUUAAAGCUCCAAUGCCAGUUCUGCUUCAGAGAAUUCAUGAUAGAUAGAGCUUAUUGUUGUCUGAGCCUUUA
This is a non-coding RNA of Thalictrum thalictroides, 92 nucleotides long. Lineage: Eukaryota; Viridiplantae; Streptophyta; Magnoliopsida; Ranunculales; Ranunculaceae. The record is from the annotation of a GenBank genome assembly.